CUCAGGUGGUUUUUCAAAAGUCAUGGCGUGUAAUUGUCAGAACAGUGAACUUCGGAGAUCCACCGGAGGGGCGAGGCCACAGCUCAACCGCGAGCACCUGAGCAUCCUGCACCGCCUGCGACGGCCGUCAGGGGGCGCGAUGCCGCCUCACAGAACCUCGAGAGGCGCCCGGGUUCCGGCACAGAAGCCCGGCGGCUCCAGGGGGCGGAGCCGAGCCGCCUCCUCAGGACCUACGCAGGAGGCGCCGUCAUCCCUACAGGGACACCUGAGAGGACCCAGCCUCCUCCUCCUCAGGACCCACUCGGGAGACGCCGCUGGCUCUAUAGGAACACCUGGGGACCGUGGCCAGGGACCACCCAGCCUCCUUCUCCUCAGCUCCUCAGGAACGACUGGGGAAGCUGUGGCUUCAUGGUCCCCGAGGCUGCCCGAGGAAAGGUAUUUCAGGACAGCCAGGAGGGGGCGCACAUCCGCCGAGAAACUGUGAGCAAGAGCGUCUGUGCUGAACCACGGAGCCACCAGAGGGCGCGCGAUCCCGCCCCAACGAACUUCCCGCGGAGGUGCCAGAAGCAGCGAGGAGCUUCAACUUCCUCAGGGCAGCACGAGGGUCGUGUUAACUUGGUGUUCUUCAUUGAGACGGGGUUUCACCGUGUUAGCCAGGAUGGUCUCGAUCUCCUGACCUCGCGAUCCGCCCGCCUCGGCCUCCCAAAGUGCUGGGAUUACAGGCGUGAGCCACCGCGCCCGGCC
Long non-coding RNA from Gorilla gorilla gorilla (western lowland gorilla), 744 nucleotides. RefSeq lists it as uncharacterized. The record is from RefSeq and is a predicted model, not a curated record. NCBI's taxonomy places the organism in Eukaryota, Metazoa, Chordata, Mammalia, Primates, Hominidae. The transcript is spliced from 3 exons.